CCUUUGACGUUAGCGGCGGACGGGUGAGUAACACGUGGGUAACCUACCUAUAAGACUGGGAUAACUUCGGGAAACCGGAGCUAAUACCGGAUAAUAUUUCGAACCGCAUGGUUCGAUAGUGAAAGGUGGUUUUGCUAUCACUUAUAGAUGGACCCGCGCCGUAUUAGCUAGUUGGUAAGGUAACGGCUUACCAAGGCGACGAUACGUANCCGACCUGAGAGGGUGAUCGGCCACACUGGAACUGAGACACGGUCCAGACUCCUACGGGAGGCAGCAGAC
Molecule: ribosomal RNA, 279 nt
Filed under: uncultured Staphylococcus sp.
Lineage: Bacteria; Bacillati; Bacillota; Bacilli; Caryophanales; Staphylococcaceae
Description: partial 16S ribosomal RNA
Rfam family: Bacterial small subunit ribosomal RNA
Source: RNAcentral